This is a long non-coding RNA of Suricata suricatta (meerkat), 463 nucleotides long. RefSeq lists it as uncharacterized. The transcript is spliced from 2 exons. The record is from RefSeq and is a predicted model, not a curated record. NCBI's taxonomy places the organism in Eukaryota, Metazoa, Chordata, Mammalia, Carnivora, Herpestidae.
CCUCUCAACUUUUACCCCUUAAAUCAACUACGAUCAUUCCAUUUUCACUUCUGAAAGGCUCUCUUCCUGAAAGGCUAAACAGCGUUGUCACCUCUUCUAGGAAAACUCUUUCCCUUACUUCUCAUGACACGGAAUUACGGAAGGUCAACUUCCCUCUCUUCAGUAAGAGAUAGAACUCUCUCCGGACCCUGUUGCGUGUGAGGAAAACUCCCAGUUUAAACAAAAUUACUGGAUUUGGAGCAAAUACAUGGAAGUAUUCUCUCCAGAAAAAAUGUGUGUUUUAGAGCAUUCCCUGGGAGCAUACAGAUAUUUGAGGGAAGAAAGAGAAGAAACAGCCAGCAGGAAAAGUCUCUAGCAGCACAAGGGACGACCUGUGCCAACUCGACCAACACUGAGUGAAACAGUCAACAAACUUGUACUGCCCAUCAAGGGAAAUGCUGCGAACAAAAAACAAACAAACAAA